This 492-nucleotide ribosomal RNA is filed under the name uncultured bacterium. Its description in RNAcentral is "partial 16S ribosomal RNA". It matches the Rfam family "Bacterial small subunit ribosomal RNA", at positions 29 to 507 of the family's 1533-position model. The record is from RNAcentral.
AGUGAACGCUGGCGGUAGGCCUAACACAUGCAAGUCGAACGGCAGCACAGUAAGAGCUUGCUCUUACGGGUGGCGAGUGGCGGACGGGUGAGGAAUACAUCGGAAUCUACUUUUUCGUGGGGGAUAACGUAGGGAAACUUACGCUAAUACCGCAUACGACCUACGGGUGAAAGCAUGGGAUCUUCGGACCUUGCGCGAUUGAAUGAGCCGAUGUGGGAUUAGCUAGUUGGCGGGGUAAAGGCCCACCAAGUCGACGAUCCGUAGCUGGUCUGAGAGGAUGGUCAGCCACACUGGAACUGAGACACGGUCCAGACGCCUACGAGAGGCAGCAGUGGGGAAUAUUGGACAAUGGGCGCAAGCCUGAUCCAGCCAUACCGCGUGGGUGAAGAAGGCCUUCGGGUUGUAAAGCCCUUUUGUUGGGAAAGAAAAGCAGCAGGUUAAUACCCCGCUGUUCUGACGGUACCCAAAGAAUAAGCACCGGCUAACUUCGUG